This 421-nucleotide ribosomal RNA is filed under the name uncultured bacterium. RNAcentral's name for it is "bacterial SSU rRNA". It matches the Rfam family "Bacterial small subunit ribosomal RNA", at positions 355 to 776 of the family's 1533-position model. The record is from RNAcentral.
UAGGGAAUAUUGCACAAUGGGGGAAACCCUGAUGCAGCAACGCCACGUGUGGGAAGAAGCAUUUCGGUGUGUAAACCACUGUCGUGAGGGAAUAAGGCAUUGUUUCGGCGAUGUUGAAUGUACCUCGAAAGGAAGCACCGGCAAACUUCGUGCCAGCAGCCGCGGUAAUACGAGGGGUGCAAGCGUUGUUCGGAAUCACUGGGCGUAAAGGGAGCGUAGGCGGAGAUGCAAGCGGACUGUACAAUACCGGGGCCCAACCCCGGACCUGCAGUUCGGACUGCACCUCUUGGAUAGUUCAGGGGCAGGCGGAAUUCCUGGUGUAGCGGUGGAAUGCGUAGAGAUCAGGAAGAACACCGAUGGCGAAGGCAGCCUGCUGGGGACUUAUCGACGCUGAGGCUCGAAAGUGCGGGUAGCAAACAGG